CGGCAGCGGCUACGGCUGUGCCCAGAGACGGUGGCGGCGGUGGCUGUGCCGGAGACGGCGGCGGCAGCCUCGCCCGGAGGUGACAGCUGCGACAGCGGAGGCUGCGCCCGGAGGCUACGGCGGCAGCGGCCCACUCCUCCUCUCCCCCAAGCAGCACGAGCACCAUGUCCCAGACUCCCAGCCAGAGAUAGGCAAGCUUUUCUCUGAUUUUCUGAUAUUCCAUAUUGAUGUUGUGUUUGAACUUUGAAAUGGGAAUAUGAGAUCAGUAGAUCACCAGUGAGGUCUUAUUUUUAGCUGCUAGUGAUGAACUAUUUAUUUUGUUCAUGUGAUGACCUAUUUAUCCUAUGAUUUUUGCAAAACAGCUAAAUGGCUUAGCUGCGGCUAUAGCCCGCUAUAGCUGAUCUUAGCUAUUUAAAGCCCUAGCAGCUAAAGGCCUUAGCCGGCUAUUUAAAUCCUUGAAAAAAACAAACCUGGUGCGGUAAAGCUGAAGCGCUACAAUUUAGUUUCUGCGAGAGCACGAUCUCGAUUCACCGACUCUGCUUCUUCGCCCCCUACCAACCUCGUGAGGCGUGAUCGACCGGCGACAACGGACGAGUAGCUGUGUCUAAUCAUAUGCUCCCUUUCCGAGACCGGCAACAGCGACGACGCUGCCCCUCUCUCCGCCAGACAACUCCAAUCGGCCGGCGGUCCGCCUCCUGCCCUGAGCCACACAAUUCUACCGGCCGGCGUGAGCGUGACUUCCCGGUGACGGCAAAUGCUGAAGGCAACGUGCAGUGCGGCUGCCCACGGUAGGGUAAGGUGACUGGUGCCGGCGUGCAAGUGCGGGGCUGCGGGCAAGUUGCAUGGAAGCAAGGUAUUUAGGUCUUUGUAUACGACUUGUGUUUUUUUAAAAAAAAAUUUUAGUUUUGACCAUUAUCAUCUGAAAAUGUAAUGCUUCCUCUUCCUCUAUCUACUUUUGAUAGGCAUAUUUCUAAUUUUGAAAAUUAUAUUUUUGAUAGGUAUAUUUCAAUCUAAUAAUCUAUUCUCUUAUUGACUUUCUCGGAUUUAAUCCGUGACUCUCUCUAUUCUUCCACAUAAGGUUGGCUACGUGGGCAUCGAUAAAUAUAAAUAUUAAUGAAUCGUUUGUUGCUGAAGAAUAACUAGUAGAAUGUUUAAAUAGAUAAUAAGUAGAAUUACUUAUCCUUGGUUUGUGUGCCAGGAUGAAAUAUGACUAUCAAAAAUAGAUGGAGUAGAUGGAGGGAGUAUUGUAUUGCAGAUUAUUGAAAACAUGAGGAAUGAUGAGAAUUCUGCAUCUCUUUUUAAUAACAUUUAGGAAAGAAGUAGUAUGGUUUUUUUUGUCAAACUUUUCUAGCUUCAUAAGCUGCUUUUAAGUCAUUUUUUAAUAGAUUCUUAAUUUCUAGAUCUUUCUAAGAUGCCUUAUUAAUAUUUUGAGUCAUUUUUUAAUAGAUUCUUAAUUUCUAGAUGUUUCUAAGAUGCCUUAUUAACAUAACAAGAUGCAUUUUAAAGUUACUUAUAUUAUGUAUUUUUUUAGUUAAUUAUAUGAUAUAUUUUGGCAAUGUUCCAUUUCCAGUAUUUACAAUUUCUCUCUAAGUCGGAUCACCCAUACUCUAAUUCCUGAUACGACACUUAAUGUAAUUACAGUUUAAAUAACAAAAAGGAAAUUCCCCGAACAAGAAAAGUUUGAGUUGCAGUUAAAACAGAGCAAGAAUAAACCAAAACCAAACAAAUGAAACAUGGAAAAUAUAGAGUACAAAAAUUAAAGUUAUACUUAAUCCAUGCUACAUUAGCCUAUCUGCAUCUCACGUCCCAUGCACGGCUCACUGUUUUACAUGAUACUGAUAGCUCGAGGCCUUUUACUCGAUCGAUGCUUUGCUGGCCCCAGUGCUCGUGCUAUCAUCAAUCUCGGAAGUGAAGAUGUGAGGAAGAUAAAGUGGAGCGGUGAGAAUCAGCCGUUGUAUGUCAGAUGACAAGGACGGCGAUUUUUGCCGUUGCUCCCGUUCCUCUGCCAAAGACAGAGCAUAUGAAUCCAACAUUUCGAUGUUCAAUGGCCUUCUUAUAUUCUCUGAUACAUCCCACUCUCAUUGUGCAAUACCAG
RNAcentral lists this long non-coding RNA (2095 nucleotides) under Oryza sativa (Asian cultivated rice). Its description in RNAcentral is "long non-coding RNA (OSAT_LNC000169)". Lineage: Eukaryota; Viridiplantae; Streptophyta; Magnoliopsida; Poales; Poaceae. The record is from RNAcentral.